ACUGUCCCCCAGGGCAGGUGUGGUUAUUACCGACCCGCUACCGAGCGGGACACUGAGGCACAGAGGGAUGGGCCUGGCCAAGAUCACACGGCCUUUUGCUGGGGACAGGUGUCCGGGCCACCCGCUCCAAACACCCGCCUACUCCCAGGCGGCCCGACAGGAAGCGCUGGACGAAAGAAGGACCUCCAGUUGACUAGAAGUGGUGAGUCUGGGCAUCUUGGCCUUGUUUCCGAUCCUAGAGGACAGCUUUCAGCUUCUCACCGUCGAAGAUGAUGCUAGCUGCGGGGUGUCAUAUACGGCCUUUAUUAGGGGGAGAUAUGUUCCCUCCAUACCUGCUUCCUUGAGACUUCUUUCACAAAUGGAUGUUGAAUUUUAUCAGAUGCUUUUUCUGCAUCUGCGGGUGUUCUCGUGAUUUUUAUCCUUCACCUGGUCAACGCGGUGAAUCCCGUUGGUGGCUGCGUGGCUGUCGAGCCAUCCUUGCAUCCCUGGAAUAAACCCCGCUCGGCUGCAGUGAGUGGUCGUGUUGACUGCUGAA
Molecule: long non-coding RNA, 535 nt
Organism: Neofelis nebulosa (Clouded leopard)
Lineage: Eukaryota; Metazoa; Chordata; Mammalia; Carnivora; Felidae
Exons: 2
Source: RefSeq, a predicted model, not a curated record